UGUGUUGUAUUAACAGGAGAGGCUAACCUGUCGGCUGUGUUGUCGAUGCCUCGAGAGAAAAAAGGAA
Molecule: long non-coding RNA, 67 nt
Organism: Etheostoma cragini (Arkansas darter)
Lineage: Eukaryota; Metazoa; Chordata; Actinopteri; Perciformes; Percidae
Exons: 3
Source: RefSeq, a predicted model, not a curated record